GACGAACAGUGCAAGCGUUAUUCGGAUUUAUUGGGCGUAAAGGGUACGUAGGUUGUUAUUUAAAUAAUGUGCAAAAUGCUAGGGUAUUAACCUUAGACGAAGUUCGUUAAGAUUAUAUAACUUUGAGUUAAGGAGAGGUUGGACCAAAUUCUAGUGUAGUAGUAAAAUGCCUCAAUAUUAGAAUGAAGACCAAGGGCGAAAGCAUCUUUCUGGCUUUAACUGACGCUAAUGUACGGAAGCGUGGGGAGCAAACCGG
RNAcentral lists this ribosomal RNA (256 nucleotides) under uncultured bacterium. RNAcentral's name for it is "partial 16S ribosomal RNA". It matches the Rfam family "Bacterial small subunit ribosomal RNA", at positions 524 to 776 of the family's 1533-position model. The record is from RNAcentral.